AGCUCCAAUAGCGUAUAUUAAAGUUGUUGCGGUUAAAAAGCUCGUAGUUGGAUCUCAGUUCGUACGCCGUGGUCCGCUUGCCGGCGGUUACUGCGGUGUCGAACAGCGCUAGCGGACUGUCUCGUGAUGCUCUUCACCGGGUGUCACGAGCGAUCCGUAAGUUUACUUUGAACAAAUUAGAGUGCUCAAAGCAGUCUUCAACGACCGAAUAAUCUUGCAUGGAAUAAUGGAAUAGGAUCUCGAUUCUAUUUUGUUGGUCUUCGGAAUCUGAGAUAAUGAUUAAGAGGGACAGACGGGGGCAUUCGUAUUGCGGCGCUAGAGGUGAAAUUCUUGGACCGUCGCAAGACGAACUACAGCGAAAGCAUUUGCCAAGAAUGUUUUCA
Molecule: ribosomal RNA, 383 nt
Filed under: uncultured eukaryote
Lineage: Eukaryota
Description: SSU rRNA
Rfam family: Eukaryotic small subunit ribosomal RNA
Source: RNAcentral